This 256-nucleotide ribosomal RNA is filed under the name uncultured bacterium. RNAcentral's name for it is "partial 16S ribosomal RNA". It matches the Rfam family "Bacterial small subunit ribosomal RNA", at positions 524 to 776 of the family's 1533-position model. The record is from RNAcentral.
UACGAGAGGCCCAAACGUUAUUCGGAUUUACUGGGCUUAAAGAGUUCGUAGGCGGCGCAGAAAGUAGGGUGUGAAAGCCCUCGGCUCAACCGAGGAAUUGCGCUCUAAACUACUGUGCUCGAGGGACCUAGAGGUGAGCAGAACUGAUGGUGGAGCGGUGAAAUGCGUUGAUCUACAGAGGAACACCAAAAAAGGCGAAGGCAGUCAACUAUUCUGUUCCUGACAUUGAGGCAUGAAAGCGUGGGAAGCAAACCGG